This is a long non-coding RNA of Scatophagus argus, 3751 nucleotides long. RefSeq lists it as uncharacterized. The transcript is spliced from 7 exons. The record is from RefSeq and is a predicted model, not a curated record. Lineage: Eukaryota; Metazoa; Chordata; Actinopteri; Scatophagidae.
GGGUUAGGAUUUGAAGAUGAGCCUGCCUCCCACUAGGGGAGACAGGAAGUGCACGGUCCAUCCUUGGAGAGACCACUGCCCCGGCCCCCAACAUGCAGGUAAGUUUCGCCUUUGCUAUAUCAAGUAUCAACAGUUUGUCUUUGUUUAACCAUCUUUCUUUCCCUUACUUUCUCCCAUCCCACUGUUUCUUUGCUUCUACCCUACUUGGGGAGCAUUUUUCUUAGGCUUAUCCCACCCUCGUGUGUUGCUUGCCGGCUACGUUUCGACUUAGUUUAGUCUUCUUCAGGCCCAACACACGUUUUCCAUUGGCACCCCCUGAGCUGACUGCUUCCUCGACGUCGGAGACAAACUGAAUGAACAGGUAAGUAUAUUCGUGCUUUUAUAGUCUGUGUUUAACAUUUUCCUUCUUUUAGGUUUUAUUAUUUUGUUUUAAAUCGUCGCCUUCCCAGAUUAGGGUUAGGGUUAGUCAGAAGGUAAGUAUAGCUAGGGGUAGGUAGGGUUAGGGUUAGGGUUGACUGACCAGGUAAGUAUAGGGUAAAGGGGAAUAGGGAUAGGGGUAGUAGCUUAGCUUAGCUUCAUCUUGAAUAUAGUUAGCCCAAAUUAGGGUUUAAAGUUAAGGGGUGGGACAGCGGCCCCUUGAGCCCAAGGAGGCACUGGCUGAGUUAGGAUUUGAAGAUGAGCCUGCCUCCCACUAGGGGAGACAGGAAGUGCACGGUCCAUCCUUGGAGAGACCACUGCCCCGGCCCCCAACAUGCAGGUAAGUUUCGCCUUUGCUAUAUCAAGUAUCAACAGUUUGUCUUUGUUUAACCAUCUUUCUUUCCCUUACUUUCUCCCAUCCCACUGUUUCUUUGCUUCUACCCUACUUGGGGAGCAUUUUUCUUAGGCUUAUCCCACCCUCGUGUGUUGCUUGCCGGCUACGUUUCGACUUAGUUUAGUCUUCUUCAGGCCCAACACACGUUUUCCAUUGGCACCCCCUGAGCUGACUGCUUCCUCGACGUCGGAGACAAACUGAAUGAACAGGUAAGUAUAUUCGUGCUUUUAUAGUCUGUGUUUAACAUUUUCCUUCUUUUAGGUUUUAUUAUUUUGUUUUAAAUCGUCGCCUUCCCAGAUUAGGGUUAGGGUUAGUCAGAAGGUAAGUAUAGCUAGGGGUAGGUAGGGUUAGGGUUAGGGUUGACUGACCAGGUAAGUAUAGGGUAAAGGGGAAUAGGGAUAGGGGUAGUAGCUUAGCUUAGCUUCAUCUUGAAUAUAGUUAGCCCAAAUUAGGGUUUAAAGUUAAGGGGUGGGACAGCGGCCCCUUGAGCCCAAGGAGGCACUGGCUGAGUUAGGAUUUGAAGAUGAGCCUGCCUCCCACUAGGGGAGACAGGAAGUGCACGGUCCAUCCUUGGAGAGACCACUGCCCCGGCCCCCAACAUGCAGGUAAGUUUCGCCUUUGCUAUAUCAAGUAUCAACAGUUUGUCUUUGUUUAACCAUCUUUCUUUCCCUUACUUUCUCCCAUCCCACUGUUUCUUUGCUUCUACCCUACUUGGGGAGCAUUUUUCUUAGGCUUAUCCCACCCUCGUGUGUUGCUUGCCGGCUACGUUUCGACUUAGUUUAGUCUUCUUCAGGCCCAACACACGUUUUCCAUUGGCACCCCCUGAGCUGACUGCUUCCUCGACGUCGGAGACAAACUGAAUGAACAGGUAAGUAUAUUCGUGCUUUUAUAGUCUGUGUUUAACAUUUUCCUUCUUUUAGGUUUUAUUAUUUUGUUUUAAAUCGUCGCCUUCCCAGAUUAGGGUUAGGGUUAGUCAGAAGGUAAGUAUAGCUAGGGGUAGGUAGGGUUAGGGUUAGGGUUGACUGACCAGGUAAGUAUAGGGUAAAGGGGAAUAGGGAUAGGGGUAGUAGCUUAGCUUAGCUUCAUCUUGAAUAUAGUUAGCCCAAAUUAGGGUUUAAAGUUAAGGGGUGGGACAGCGGCCCCUUGAGCCCAAGGAGGCACUGGCUGAGUUAGGAUUUGAAGAUGAGCCUGCCUCCCACUAGGGGAGACAGGAAGUGCACGGUCCAUCCUUGGAGAGACCACUGCCCCGGCCCCCAACAUGCAGGUAAGUUUCGCCUUUGCUAUAUCAAGUAUCAACAGUUUGUCUUUGUUUAACCAUCUUUCUUUCCCUUACUUUCUCCCAUCCCACUGUUUCUUUGCUUCUACCCUACUUGGGGAGCAUUUUUCUUAGGCUUAUCCCACCCUCGUGUGUUGCUUGCCGGCUACGUUUCGACUUAGUUUAGUCUUCUUCAGGCCCAACACACGUUUUCCAUUGGCACCCCCUGAGCUGACUGCUUCCUCGACGUCGGAGACAAACUGAAUGAACAGGUAAGUAUAUUCGUGCUUUUAUAGUCUGUGUUUAACAUUUUCCUUCUUUUAGGUUUUAUUAUUUUGUUUUAAAUCGUCGCCUUCCCAGAUUAGGGUUAGGGUUAGUCAGAAGGUAAGUAUAGCUAGGGGUAGGUAGGGUUAGGGUUAGGGUUGACUGACCAGGUAAGUAUAGGGUAAAGGGGAAUAGGGAUAGGGGUAGUAGCUUAGCUUAGCUUCAUCUUGAAUAUAGUUAGCCCAAAUUAGGGUUUAAAGUUAAGGGGUGGGACAGCGGCCCCUUGAGCCCAAGGAGGCACUGGCUGAGUUAGGAUUUGAAGAUGAGCCUGCCUCCCACUAGGGGAGACAGGAAGUGCACGGUCCAUCCUUGGAGAGACCACUGCCCCGGCCCCCAACAUGCAGGUAAGUUUCGCCUUUGCUAUAUCAAGUAUCAACAGUUUGUCUUUGUUUAACCAUCUUUCUUUCCCUUACUUUCUCCCAUCCCACUGUUUCUUUGCUUCUACCCUACUUGGGGAGCAUUUUUCUUAGGCUUAUCCCACCCUCGUGUGUUGCUUGCCGGCUACGUUUCGACUUAGUUUAGUCUUCUUCAGGCCCAACACACGUUUUCCAUUGGCACCCCCUGAGCUGACUGCUUCCUCGACGUCGGAGACAAACUGAAUGAACAGGUAAGUAUAUUCGUGCUUUUAUAGUCUGUGUUUAACAUUUUCCUUCUUUUAGGUUUUAUUAUUUUGUUUUAAAUCGUCGCCUUCCCAGAUUAGGGUUAGGGUUAGUCAGAAGGUAAGUAUAGCUAGGGGUAGGUAGGGUUGGGGUUAGGGUUAACUGACCAGGUAAGUAUAGGGUAAAGGGGAAUAGGGAUAGGGGUAGUAGCUUAGCUUAGCUUCAUCUUGAAUAUAGUUAGCCCAAAUUAGGGUUUAAAGUUAAGGGGUGGGACAGCGGCCCCUUGAGCCCAAGGAGGCACUGGCUGAGUUAGGAUUUGAAGAUGAGCCUGCCUCCCACUAGGGGAGACAGGAAGUGCACGGUCCAUCCUUGGAGAGACCACUGCCCCGGCCCCCAACAUGCAGGUAAGUUUCGCCUUUGCUAUAUCAAGUAUCAACAGUUUGUCUUUGUUUAACCAUCUUUCUUUCCCUUACUUUCUCCCAUCCCACUGUUUCUUUGCUUCUACCCUACUUGGGGAGCAUUUUUCUUAGGCUUAUCCCACCCUCGUGUGUUGCUUGCCGGCUACGUUUCGACUUAGUUUAGUCUUCUUCAGGCCCAACACACGUUUUCCAUUGGCACCCCCUGAGCUGACUGCUUCCUCGACGUCGGAGACAAACUGAAUGAACAGGUAAGUAUAUUCGUGCUUUUAUAGUCUGUGUUUAACAUUUUCCUUCUUUUAGGUUUUAUUAUUUUGUUUUAAAUCGUCGCCUUCCCAGAUUAGGG